Diospyros lotus (date-plum) is the source of this 107-nucleotide small nucleolar RNA. The record is from RefSeq and is a predicted model, not a curated record. NCBI's taxonomy places the organism in Eukaryota, Viridiplantae, Streptophyta, Magnoliopsida, Ericales, Ebenaceae.
AACCCAUGAUUCGGACACUUCCUUAGAAAUUCUUUAUACCGUUCCCACGCUUCAUGAAAAUUCUCAGUUUCAGCUUGCUGGAAAGUUGAAAUUUCAUGCUUUAAUUU